RNAcentral lists this long non-coding RNA (1945 nucleotides) under Solanum tuberosum (potato). RNAcentral describes it as "long non-coding RNA (STUB_LNC011335)". Lineage: Eukaryota; Viridiplantae; Streptophyta; Magnoliopsida; Solanales; Solanaceae. The record is from RNAcentral.
AAACUUAACGUGAAAUAGAACAACCCUAGCAGCGAUUUUUCCUAAGAACGAUCUUCACAAUACAGCGAUCUAAGAGCAGCUCUCUACUGAAAAUCUUUGUAUUCUCAAAAUAGAGAAAGCACUAGUCUGCCUAGAAGCAGACGCAGCAGCUUGUUUCAGUCAUUCAUCUGUAUUUUUCAGAACAAAGAAAGUACAGGUCUGUCUAUCACCGAUCUCAAUCUCUAUCUUCUAUUCACUCGAAUCUGAGGUAUUACUCCACUUCUUUCUGUUUAUUUGUUUCCUUCUAUUAAGCUGAUUUGUUGUUUGUUUUGUUCAAGUUAUAACUCUUCUUGUUUAAGUUAGUUUUGUUCUCUGAUCACACUAGCUGCUGAUCGUUAUUUGUAAAAAAAGAUUCAGUUUUAUAGUGCUUUAUGAUCCCAAAAAAUGAAGGGGAUCUAUCGUUAAAGAACUAAGUGUUCCUAAAGGUUAAGAACAAUAAACUAAACUUGAAAAGGGGAACUAACAAGUAGAAGAGCUAAAACAAUAUGAUCAAUAUCGAGAGAGUUGUGUUCAAGUUGAGAAAUCCAUUAUGAAUUACUAGUGAAUCGUUUUUAAGAUUUUAAGCCUAACAGAGCAAGUGUGAAAACUGAUUUAUGUAUGUUACUAUUGGAAAAGUGAAAAAUUGGUAGUUUUGUUUGGUUCCAAAAACUAAUAAAAGAUGUAAAACGAAAUAGAACUGAUGCAAAUGCCUCAUGUGGUGAUGCACAUAGAAGGUUGAAAAAGUGAAAGUUUUGUUUGGGUUUGAAACUUGGAAAACUUGAUAUCUUCCAAGAAGAUACAUUCUAACAGUUUGUUAAAACAUUAUUAAUCCAUUUUUCUAACAUGUUCUCUUAUUUCUUUCUAGUUUCUCCUCUUUGCGAGUUGUUUUCUUCUUCUCUAAAUCUAAGAGUAGCUCUCAACUGAAAAUCUUUGAUUUCUCAAAAUAGAGAAAGCACGAGUCGGCCUAGAAGCAGUCGCAACAGCUUUGUUUCAGUGUUUCAUCUGUGUUUUUUCAGGACAAAGAAAGUACAGGUCUGUCCAGCACCGAUCUCAACUCAAUCUCUAUCUUCUAUUCACUGGAAUCUCAGGUAUUACUCCACUUCUUCCAGUUUAUUUGUUUCCUUCGAUUAAGCCGAUUUGUUGUUUGUUUUGUUCAAGUCAUAACUCUUCUUCUUUAAGUUAGUUUGGUUCGCUGAUCACACUAGCUAGCUGCUGAUCAUUAUUUGUAAAAAAAGUUCCAGCUUUAUAGUGCAUGUUUUAUGAUCCCAAAAAUGAAGGGGAUCUAUCCUUAAAGAACUAAGUGUUCCAAAAGGUUAAGAACAAUAAACUAAAACUUGAAAAGGGGAACUAACAAGUAGACGAGCUAUCAAUAUCGAGAGGGUUGUUCAAGUUGAGAAAUCCAUUAUGAAUUACAAGUGAAUCGUUUUUAAGCUUUUAAGCCUAACAGGGCAAGUGAGGAAACUUAUUGCUGUAUGUUACUAUUGGAAAAGUGAAAAAAUGAAAGUUUUGUUUGGUUCUAAAAACUAAUAAAGAUGUAAACGAAAUAGAAGUGAUGCAAAUGACCUCAUGUAGUGAUGCACAUAGAAGGUUGAAAAAGUGAUAGUUUCGUUUGGGUCUGAAACUUGGAAAACUUGAUAUCUUUCAAGAAGAUGCAUUCUAACAGUUUGUUAAAACAUUAUUAAUCCAUUUUUUCUAACAGGUUCACUUAUUUCUUUCUAGUUGUAUCUCAGUUAUUUCUCCUCUUUGUUGAGUUAUUUUUUCUUCUCUAAAUCUAAGAGUAGCUCUCAACUGAAAAUAUUUUAUUAUCGAAAUAGAGAAAGCACAGGUCUGCCUAGAAGCAGUCGCAACAGCUUGGUUUCAGUGUUUCAUCUGUGUUUUUCAGGACAAAGAAAGCACAGGUCUGCCUAGCUCCGAUCUCAACUCAAUC